AGGCAGGACAUCCCCAAAGAUGCUUAUUGACGCCAGCUGGACGUGGCUGGCGGGAAGACUGGCACCUGUUCAUGAAAAUAAAAUCUCCUGAUAAGGUUUUCUUGCGGAGCCUGGUUGAGCCUGAAUCAACAAACAACAUCCUGAACCUGAGCACCCCUUGCUGAGCUAGGAGGAAAGGAAGGGUGAGGGGAAACGUACUCCAGCUCUGUUUGUCAGCUUCAUUAGUUCACAGAGUUUAUGACCUGCUGCAGGGAACAUUUUUGUGUGUAAUUCAAACACAUUCUGUUUUAUCAUUCCCUCGGUACCCUGCUGGGACAAGAAUGGGCUGAUGACAGCCAGCCCCUGGGUGGUGACUUCAGGGAAAGGCACCAGCAAGAUGUGUGUGUGGGGAGCUUGGACCGCCAGUCACAGGCACAGGUGUACGGGGAGCAGGGGUGAGUCCAGCCAGCCACUUACCCCAGGGUUGACACCAAUAACACGGCAGGGAAAAGGGGGGCCUCUGGAGGACAGGAAUGGGGAGUAAAAGAGCUUCCCUUGCAAAAGCAGCCCCAUUUUCACAACAGUCUUCGGGCUGCCUGGCAAGCCUUCCUCUCCCGUCAGUCAAAUGUCUGGCUUCCCCCACCUGGCACUAAUCCUCCCCGCCAAGGAGACAGGGUGGGGAAAGGAAGGAGGAAGCCCCUUGAUAGAGCAGGUCCUGCUGAGACUGCAGGGGGGCCCUCAGACUUCACCGAUUCUAGGAUCCAAGCCAGGGGCCCCCCUCCCGUUCUCUGCACAGGCGCCAGGAUGGGCGCGCCACUCAACUCCUCAGCCUGGACCUCUGCACUGCCCAGUGCGAGGCCCAAUGACCUUCACUGGGGGCAGCUGCACCACCAGCCUUGGCUGCCCUACAGGUGAGGGCUGGGUCACUUGGGAAGAGCAGGGCAGGAGGAACCUAGAGGAAGGUGAGCUCUUCAGAACGGUAUGGAGGCCAGAGAAAGACAAAGAGAAAUGAUAGAGGCAUCCAGGCUGGACGAGAAGGUCCAGUGCAUUGAGCUGUAGGAGCAGCAACACACAGCCAGCUGCGCUGAGCCGGCUGGGACAAACCUGAGCAGGGCUCAGACCCAGGUUCCUGGGCCCCGAGUACCCUGGUACCCAAGGAAAAAAGUCCGGAGGGCCUGCUCCUGGAUUCCGCUAGUUGUUAGAAAAGGGUUCCUCUGGCUGGGCACGGAGGUAGACAGGGCAAGAUGCUUCGCUCUC
This 1236-nucleotide long non-coding RNA is filed under the name Homo sapiens (human). Its description in RNAcentral is "HSALNT0245228". The record is from RNAcentral. Lineage: Eukaryota; Metazoa; Chordata; Mammalia; Primates; Hominidae.